UACGUAGGGGGCAAGCGUUGUCCGGAUUUAUUGGGCGUAAAGAGCGUGUAGGCGGCCAGAUAGGUCAGCUGUGAAAACUCGAGGCUCAACCUCGAGAUGUCGGCUGAAACCAUCUGGCUAGAGUCCGGAAGAGGAGAAUGGAAUUCCCGGUGUAGCGGUGAAAUGCGCAGAUAUCGGGAAGAACACCCGUGGCGAAGGCAGCUUGCUGGGACGGUACUGACGCUGAGACGCGAAAGCGUGGGGAGCAAACAGG
Molecule: ribosomal RNA, 253 nt
Filed under: uncultured bacterium
Lineage: Bacteria
Description: partial 16S ribosomal RNA
Rfam family: Bacterial small subunit ribosomal RNA
Source: RNAcentral